CGGUCCCCAGCUCCGAAAAAAGAAAAAAAAAAGACAGGAUUUCAUUGUGUAGUCUAGACUGUCCUUGAAAAUGCAAUUGUUCUCCCUCUCUGCCUUCCAAGUUCUAGAAUCCUAGACUUAAAACAGGUAUGUACUGGGCUGGAGAUAUGGCUCAGUGGUUAAGAGCACCAACUACUCUUCCAGAGGUCCUGAGUUCAAAUCCCAGCAACCACAUGGUGGCUUACAACCACCUCUUCUGGUGUGCAUGAAGAUAGCAACAGUGUACUUAUAUAUAAUAAAUAAAUCUUUACAAAACAAAAAACAAACAGGUGUGUACUAACACACUUAGCAGGUCUUUUUCUUAAAGCACCUGCUGCCUGUCUAUAAAUGUUAAGACUGAAAGUAGGCAUUUAAGAGAGUAUUCCAGCCUCAAACACAGCAGACUUGGGGCCAGAUUCAAGUAAUACAGCAUCAGCCUGUCUCAGAAGAAGGCAAGAAAGGCCAGAGAAGCAGCUAUGACCCAGAGAGCAUAUCUUGACUCAAUUCUGUGAAGUGGAAGUUUUCACUUUAUAGCCUUGAUUGGCUUGUAAUUUGCUAUGUAUAGACCCUGGCUGUCCUUGAACUCAGAUCUAACUGCCUCUGCAUCUUGAGUACUGAGAUUAAAGGUAUAUGCCACCUUGCCCAGCAAAGAGGAUACUUAAAAAAAAAAUUAUCUCAGUUUCUUAUAGACCAUAUACUAAUAGCUAUACUGUACAGAAGUCUUUUUGGUCCUCUGUAAUUUGGGUGUCCUACCAAAAGCACGGAGAGGCACUUGUUCCGAGUGCACGGAUUAGCCAGGGUCCUUCAGCAAAUCACUGCACCUCAGUCCUAGUUAAAGCGUGUCCUAUUUGUACCCAGACUUUUUCCUGAAAAUAACUUUGUCGAUGUUCUAAAAAUAGCAGUUCUUUGCUUUUUUUUAUCUUUUCAUUUUAGAUUUGAUGGUAGAGUGGUGGCAAAGCUCCCCUUCACUCCUCUCUCUUACAUCCAAGGACUGUCUCACCGAAACCUGCUGGGCGAUGACACCACAGACUGCUCCUUCAUCUUCCUGUAUAUUCUCUGUACUAUGUCCAUUCGACAAUUUAGGAGUGUUCACUGCUCUGGAGGUGAUGGGACCUGGGAGAAUGGAGCCUAAAAACGAGGCGGAUGCAUGCAAUAGCCAGCUUUCUUCAGAGCAUCAGACACUUUCUACUCUCAAGCUUGAGAAGAGUCACAUGAGUAAAGUGCAGAAUCACAAGGACAAGCCAAACGUGGAAAAAACGUAAGCCAGUAACAAUAGCCAGCUAUAACGUCAGCUGAGCUCAGUCCUCUCCAUUUCACCUGAGAGAAGCAUGAAAACACAGUCCAAGAACAACUCAGUUUUGAGGUCAGAAAACUCUUGUCUUGUUUCUUAGGGUUUUCUCACAAGUCCCUACAUGAAAGUCCAUUUUUGGAUAGUGUUCUAACAAUAUCAAUAAUACAGUGAGUUUAAGGUAUUUACAGUUAAGUCCAGGUACUAAGAACUUGAGUUUUUUGUCAGGGUUAACAGUGAAUUCUAGGCUUCAUACUAUGUUAGGAAAGAAACUAAAAAUAAGUAAGUUAAAAGCUUUUGGACUAUUGGCUCGGAUUCUAGGUGGAAAUCCAACCCUGAGGGACAAUAGCAGUAGUUUGUGCCUGUCCCCACCUCUGUGUGUGCAAAAUGCAACAGGAGUUAGAAACCUGCUACAGGGACACAGUGACCACAGGGAAUUGCUGUACAAACUAGGAUUUUGUAUAAAAAGAUGAUUUGAAUUGUGUCCUGGAGGAUGAGGAACAGACUUAGCACUUUUCUUGACAGAGGAGGCAGCAGGAGUGAAAGCUUGGAGGUGUGGUGGGGAUGCAGGGACCGUAAGUCCGUUGUUGGUGAGAGGAAUGAGUCUGAGUCAGAGAUGAAGGCUAACACUGAGGAUGGCCUUUUGUGAGGCAUUUGUACCUCACAGUACACGCUGGCUCUGUCAGUGUUUCCUAUGGGAUUGCUCAGUAGCUGCUGCCGCUGCCGCUGCUGCCAUUGCCGCCGUGGCUGCCUCCUUUCCUGUUUCUGGUCAUUUGUUUGUUUUCAGGGCUGUUGUUAGUGAGGUUCAUUACUAGGUGGAUUGCUGUUCUCCUGAACCUUAUUCCAGUUAUUUGUAUUGAGGCUAUUAUAAAUCAAUUCUCAGUGUUAUUAGAGAAAAGUGCAGAGAAAAGCCAUUGAUUUUCGUAUGCUCAUUUUGUCCUUCUAGUUUGCUGAAUUUGUUUGUCAUUUCUUUGCAGUACACAGAGACAGCCCUUGUGACACGGGACACCCUUGCUUGUUUCUUCUCAGGGCUCUCUGGUGGAGAAUUUAACUGCAGGCAGGAUGGUCGCUCACAUCUCGUUUCUCUUCCCUGUCUGGCCUGCCUUAGACUUCAGGCACUACUUUAGUAAGAGUAGAAGUAGGU
This 2450-nucleotide long non-coding RNA is filed under the name Rattus norvegicus (Norway rat). RNAcentral describes it as "long non-coding RNA NONRATT031902". The record is from RNAcentral. Lineage: Eukaryota; Metazoa; Chordata; Mammalia; Rodentia; Muridae.